Molecule: long non-coding RNA, 1151 nt
Filed under: Homo sapiens (human)
Lineage: Eukaryota; Metazoa; Chordata; Mammalia; Primates; Hominidae
Description: HSALNT0367289
Source: RNAcentral
ACAGGGCAAAGUCGCUCUACUACAGCAUGUCAAUCUCAGGCACAGUCUGUGUUAGGAAAUGUGCCGGGAACUGAUCACUCACAGACUUGGCACGGCAGGUGGUCACUCAUGGCUUGUGGUCAUUUAUCUCUGAGGUAACUCUGGUAUGUGUCAGGGUGGGCCUACUGGUUCGGUCAGGUCAUUAUCUCAGACUGACCUCAACUUUUCACCCAGCCUACAGCCCCUUCCCUAUUCCUAGUCCCUGGAAACAAUGCUUCCUAGUGUCACUUCUUUUCUCCCCUGCCCAGGGGGGUAGAGGUAUAAUCAGACCAGUACAAGGUGCUGUGUGAGUGGGGGAAGAGCUGACCGACUAAAUACCCAACCCUUUUUUUGGCCCCUGAGAAGACAGCAGACCUCAAUACUAAAGAAGCAAAGUCUGGCCAGAGUUUAGGAAUCCCAUGCCUGUCAAUCAUUUGCAAUCUUCCUCAACAACUAUUUUUUACUUAACAUGUUUUUUUGUCCAUAAGCAAGUUGCUCCUCACGGGCAGGAACCUGCCUUUUCAUCACCAGUGCCUACCAGGUUGCUUGGCAAUAUUAGGCACUCAAUAAAUGUUUAUUGAAUGAACUAAAGAAAGAAUGCUAUACAGGCAGCCCAUACUGAGAUAUUGACUACAUCAUGUAAAUUUUGGAGAGGAGUAUUUUUUUCAGUAUCAUGGAUUAUUUUCAGUUCAAGCAUUAGCUUAAGUUCUGUUUCUAAGACCUAAGCAAUCCAUAUUUUAAAUCUAAAAUAAUUUAAUCUUAGUGUACAUUCUGUUUAGAGACAGCAGGGGAAGUAUCACAAGAGAAGAAAAGGAAGGAUAUGUGAAAUGUUUAUUGAAGCAAGCUGCUUGAGGUUUCCAGCACCUAGAAAAAAACUCACUGAGAUGUAAAAAUGGUUGCUCAUGGGACAUGGAUAUUUUCCUUUUCUCCCUAUUUUUGUUGUCUUCUCAUGAGCAUAUUACAUUAUGAUGUAAAAAAAACCCCUUAGUUUUGAAAACUAAGUUUUUACUCCCUUCCUCUCUAUGAGAGAAGUUUUUUUCACUUUAUUUACCAUUUUCUGUAAUAGUCUUUCCUCUGUGGAUGCUCAUCUAGAAGAGAAAUUAAUUAUGCCACUAAGUGGUCUAUAUAUUGAC